This 497-nucleotide ribosomal RNA is filed under the name uncultured bacterium. RNAcentral's name for it is "partial 16S ribosomal RNA". It matches the Rfam family "Bacterial small subunit ribosomal RNA", at positions 28 to 507 of the family's 1533-position model. The record is from RNAcentral.
GAUGAACGCUGGCGGCGUGCCUAAUACAUGCAAGUCGAGCGAACGGACGAGAAGAUUGCUUCUCUGCUGUUAGCGGCGGACGGGCGAGUAACACGUGGAUAACCUACCUAUAAGACUGGGAUAACUUCGGGAAACCGGAGCUAAUACCAGAUAAUAUUUUGAACCGCAUGGUUCAAAAGUGAAAGACGGUCUUGCUGUCACUUAUAGAUGGAUCCGCGCUGCAUUAGCUAGUUGGUAAGGUAACGGCUUACCAAGGCAACGAUGCAUAGCCGACCUGAGAGGAUGAUCGGCCACACUGGAACUGAGACACGGUCCAGACUCCUACGGGAGGCAGCAGUAGGGAAUCUUCCGCAAAGGGCGAAAGCCUGACGGAGCAACGCCGCGUGAGUGAUGAAGGUCUUCGGAUCGUAAAGCUCUUUUAUUAGGGAAGAACAUAUGUGUAAUUAACUGUGCACAUCUUGACGGUACCUAAUCAGAAAGCCACGGCUAACUACGUG